RNAcentral lists this long non-coding RNA (1203 nucleotides) under Suricata suricatta (meerkat). RNAcentral describes it as "lncRNA (ENSSSUG00005010966.1)". The record is from RNAcentral. Lineage: Eukaryota; Metazoa; Chordata; Mammalia; Carnivora; Herpestidae.
AGUGUUGCCCAAGGGCCCUCCUGGCUUUCAUCCGGCUUCAAACGCCCCACAGCUGCCCUCACCCUAUUCCUCAGUCUGAAAGGCUUGCCUACACCCUCAGGUCUCCCUUCAGGGGUCCCUCCCUUGGGCCAAGCACGCUGAUCCCCCAUCAGGUUUUUUUUUGGCUGGAUGACCCCCCCCCCAGAAUUUGGCUCCCGCUGCCCCAAGGUGCUCACCUGAGAGUGCCCAUCAGAGUCACUCUGGCCUUUCUCCAUACAGGCAAGCUUCCUGCUCGCAGAGUUGGGCCCUGGGGACAGAAUCUCAAUAAACACUGUGGAACGAAUGGAAGGAAGAAGCAAACUUUAGCAUGUUCCACCUCACUCCAGCUCACUAUGAUCCUGGUCCUUACUCGGAGCCAGAAAGAACCGAAGCUAAAUGUCAGCUGGAUCACAGCAGGUGAGGAGAUGGGGGGGCGGGUGUCACUGAGAAUUCUGAGAGACUCAGUCUUCGCUCAUUUAGCUCUGUGUGGCUAAGUGUGGCUUUUCCUCCUAAUGCUUAUCCCUGCUGGGCCUCAUGCUCCAUUUCUUUUGUUUGUUUGUUUUUUUAAUUUUUUUUUCAUGUUUUAUUUAUUUUUGAUACAGAGAGAGACAGAGCAUGAGAGGAGGAGGGGCAGAGAGAGAAGGAGACACAGAACCGGAAGCAGGCUCCAGGCUCUGAGCUAGCUGUCAGCACAGAGCCUGACGCAGGGCUCGAACCCACAAACGUGAGAUCAUGACCUGAGCCGAAGUCGGAGGCUUAGCUGACUGAGCCACCCAGGCGCCCCUCAUGCUCCAUUUCUGACCUUCCUUCCAAAGGCAGUAAGGCGACUCUGAAGAGGCUUUGGUGCCCUGCCAUAACCAAGACCCUCAACUCCACCACCCAGCUGGCCCCACGCCUCCACCCAGCUGCCUCCAGCUGGCCUUGUCCAUCCCUGCUGAGCCCCCAUGUGCAGAGAUGGGGGCUUCUCUGUUUUUCAGACUUGAUGCUGUGCUCCCCACAUGGCCUGGGGCUCAUGCACACACCCCCAAGCUAGGUCACUAGGUGAGGGUGAGUCCUGAGACUGGUGGACCUCGUCACGAGUGAUGUAAGUGUAGCUUCUGUGGGCAGGACCCUCCCUCGGUGGACCCUGGCUCAUCUCCAGCAUUCCCAUUCUCAGUCUCUGCAAACAGGGGAUCAGAAGCCUGU